This is a long non-coding RNA of Manacus vitellinus (golden-collared manakin), 319 nucleotides long. RefSeq lists it as uncharacterized. The transcript is spliced from 3 exons. Lineage: Eukaryota; Metazoa; Chordata; Aves; Passeriformes; Pipridae. The record is from RefSeq and is a predicted model, not a curated record.
CCAAGGUGUUGGACUCCCUGCAGUCACAGCACAGAGACCUGAUACCGAGGACACAACUUCCUGCCUCACUGACAGUGCCUGCAUUGUGACACUGGCAGCUCUUCAGCUCUUCUUCAUUGUUGCUGGUCUCUUGGUAUCUACAGGAGACUAGUCUAGAUGACCUACACACAGUGAGAGAGCUUUUUCUAAUGUGAAGACCUGACAGUCAACACAGAGAAAACAGACAAAGCAGAGUGACGUGGAGGAAGGAGGAUUCCCUGAUUCUGGUGAGUUCUGGGAACGAGUGCCACAAUUUUCAGCCAGAUGCCAAGAAACCCAG